RNAcentral lists this transfer RNA (89 nucleotides) under Tuber borchii (whitish truffle). It matches the Rfam family "tRNA". Rfam says of the family: Transfer RNA (tRNA) molecules are approximately 80 nucleotides in length. Lineage: Eukaryota; Fungi; Ascomycota; Pezizomycetes; Pezizales; Tuberaceae. The record is from Rfam by way of RNAcentral.
GCCUUUAUGGCUAAGAGGUAAGGCGCAGCACUUGUAUUUCUAACUUAAUCGCAAUGCUGAGAUCAUGAGUUUAAAUCUCAUUAGAGGCA